AGAGUUUGAUCCUGGCUCAGAACGAACGCUGGCGGCAGGCUUAACACAUGCAAGUCGAACGCACCUUCGGGUGAGUGGCAGACGGGUGAGUAACGCGUGGGAACGUGCCCUUCAGUUCGGAAUAACCCAGGGAAACUUGGGCUAAUACCGGAUACGUGCGAGAGCAGAAAGAUUUAUCGCUGAAGGAUCGGCCCGCGUCUGAUUAGCUAGUUGGUGGGGUAAUGGCCCACCAAGGCGACGAUCAGUAGCUGGUCUGAGAGGAUGAUCAGCCACAUUGGGACUGAGACACGGCCCAAACUCCUACGGGAGGCAGCAGUGGGGAAUAUUGGACAAUGGGCGCAAGCCUGAUCCAGCCAUGCCGCGUGAGUGAUGAAGGCCUUAGGGUUGUAAAGCUCUUUCGGCGGGGACGAUAAUGACGGUACCCGCAGAAGAAGCCCCGGCUAACUUCGUGCCAGCAGCCGCGGUAAUACGAAGGGGGCUAGCGUUGUUCGGAAUCACUGGGCGUAAAGGGCGCGUAGGCGGCUUGAUAAGUCGGGGGUGAAAGCCUGUGGCUCAACCACAGAAUUGCCUUCGAUACUGUCUGGCUUGAGACCGGAAGAGGUAAGUGGAACUGCGAGUGUAGAGGUGAAAUUCGUAGAUAUUCGCAAGAACACCAGUGGCGAAGGCGGCUUACUGGUCCGGUUCUGNNNCUGANNNNCGAAAGCGUGGGGAGCAAACAGGAUUAGAUACCCUAGUAGUCC
Molecule: ribosomal RNA, 740 nt
Filed under: uncultured bacterium
Lineage: Bacteria
Description: bacterial SSU rRNA
Rfam family: Bacterial small subunit ribosomal RNA
Source: RNAcentral